CAGUCGCCACGGGAAUACGAAGGGUGCAAGCGUUAAUCGGAAUUACUGGGCGUAAAGCUUGCGUAGGCGGUUUGUUAAGUCUGUUGUGAAAUCCCCGGGCUCAACCUGGGAAUGGCAAUGGAUACUGGCAAGCUAGAGUGUGUCAGAGGAUGGUGGAAUUCCCGGUGUAGCGGUGAAAUGCGUAGAGAUCGGGAGGAACAUCAGUGGCGAAGGCGGCCAUCUGGGACAACACUGACGCUGAGGCACGAAAGCGUGGGGAGCAAACAGGAUUAGAUACCCCGUAGUCCCUGUCUCUUAUACA
This 301-nucleotide ribosomal RNA is filed under the name uncultured bacterium. RNAcentral describes it as "partial 16S ribosomal RNA". It matches the Rfam family "Bacterial small subunit ribosomal RNA", at positions 509 to 808 of the family's 1533-position model. The record is from RNAcentral.